This 260-nucleotide ribosomal RNA is filed under the name uncultured bacterium. Its description in RNAcentral is "partial 16S ribosomal RNA". It matches the Rfam family "Bacterial small subunit ribosomal RNA", at positions 99 to 354 of the family's 1533-position model. The record is from RNAcentral.
CGAACGGGUGAGUAACGCGUGGGUAACCUACCUCUUAGCGGGGGACAACUAUUGGAAACGAUAGCUAAUACCGCAUAACAAUACUUAACACAUGUUAAGUAUUUGAAAGCACCAAUUGGUGCACUAAGAGAUGGACCCGCGUUGUAUUAGCUAGUUGGUAGUGUAAUGGACUACCAAGGCGAUGAUACAUAGCCGACCUGAGAGGGUGAUCGGCCACAUUGGGACUGAGACACGGCCCAAACUCCUACGGAAGGCAGCAG